RNAcentral lists this ribosomal RNA (2382 nucleotides) under seawater metagenome. RNAcentral describes it as "bacterial LSU rRNA". It matches the Rfam family "Bacterial large subunit ribosomal RNA", at positions 3 to 2421 of the family's 2925-position model. The record is from RNAcentral.
UCAAGCAACUAAGCGUACGUGGUGGAUGCCUUGGCAGCCAGAGGCGAUGAAGGACGUGGUAGGCAACGAAAUGCUUCGGGGAGCCGUCAAACAGGCUUUGAUCCGGAGGUGUCCGAAUGGGGAAACCCGGCCCAUUUAUGGGUCAUCACAUGCUGAAUACAUAGGCAUGUGAGGCGAACGCAGGGAACUGAAACAUCUAAGUACCUGCAGGAAAAGAAAUCAAUUGAGAUUCCCUUAGUAGCGGUGAGCGAACGGGGAAAAGCCCUUAAGCAACAGCAGUGUUAGUGGAACGGUCUGGAAAGUCCGGCGACAGUGGGUGAUAGCCCCGUACACGAAAGCGCUGCAGUUGUGAAAACGAGUAGGUCGAAACACGUGUAAUUUUGACUGAAGAUGGGGGGACCAUCCUCCAAGGCUAAAUACUCCUGGCUGACCGAUAGUGAACUAGUACCGUGAGGGAAAGGCGAAAAGAACCCCGGAGAGGGGAGUGAAAUAGAUCCUGAAACCGCGUACGUACAAGCAGUAGGAGCAGACUUGUUCUGUGACUGCGUACCUUUUGUAUAAUGGGUCAGCGAGUUAAUGUCAGUAGCAAGGUUAACCGAAUAGGGGAGCCGUAGGGAAACCGAGUCUUAAUAGGGCGUUUAGUUGCUGGCAUUAGACCCGAAACCGGGCGAUCUACCCAUGGCCAGGUUGAAGGUGCCGUAACAGGCACUGGAGGACCGAACCCACUAAUGUUGAAAAAUUAGGGGAUGAGCUGUGGGUCGGAGUGAAAGGCUAAUCAAGCCCGGAGAUAGCUGGUUCUCCUCGAAAGCUAUUUAGGUAGCGCCUCGUGUCAUUGACUGCUGGGGGUAGAGCACUGUUUCGGCUAGGGGGUCAUCCCGACUUACCAACCCGAUGCAAACUCCGAAUACCUGUGAGUACUAUCCGGGAGACACACGGCGGGUGCUAACGUCCGUCGUGAAGAGGGAAACAACCCAGACCGCCAGCUAAGGUCCCCAAAUACCAGUUAAGUGGGAAACGAUGUGGGAAGGCUCAGACAGCUAGGAGGUUGGCUUAGAAGCAGCCAUCCUUUAAAGAAAGCGUAAUAGCUCACUAGUCGAGUCGGCCUGCGCGGAAGAUGUAACGGGGCUCAAACUGGUUACCGAAGCUGCGGCUGUGCACGCAAGUGCACGGGGUAGGGGAGCGUUCUGUAAGCCUGCGAAGGUGUGUCGAGAGGCAUGCUGGAGGUAUCAGAAGUGCGAAUGCUGACAUGAGUAACGACAAUGGGGGUGAAAAACCCCCACGCCGGAAGACCAAGGUUUCCUGCGCAACGCUAAUCGGCGCAGGGUGAGUCGGCCCCUAAGGUGAGACCGAAAGGUGUAAUCGAUGGGAAACGGGUUAAUAUUCCCGUACCUUGGAUCACUGCGAUGGAGAGACGGAGAAGGCUAGGUGAGCCGGGCGACGGUUGUCCCGGUUUAAGCGAGUAGGGAGUGGACUUAGGCAAAUCCGGGUCCACAAUCCCGAGACGCGACGACGACUGCCCUUUUAGGGCGGGAAGUCAUUGAUGCCCUGCUUCCAGGAAAAUCUUCUAAGCUUCAGGUGAUUCGAGACCGUACCCCAAACCGACACAGGUGGUCAGGUAGAGAAUACCAAGGCGCUUGAGAGAACUCGGGUAAAGGAACUAGGCAAAAUGGUGCCGUAACUUCGGGAGAAGGCACGCCGGUGGUAUGUGACGCCCUUCGCGGGUUGAGCAGAAGCCGGUCGAAGAUACCAGGCCCCUGCGACUGUUUAUUAAAAACACAGCACUGUGCUAACACGAAAGUGGACGUAUACGGUGUGACGCCUGCCCGGUGCCGGAAGGUUAAUUGAUGGGGUUAGCUUCGGCGAAGCUCUUGAUCGAAGCCCCGGUAAACGGCGGCCGUAACUAUAACGGUCCUAAGGUAGCGAAAUUCCUUGUCGGGUAAGUUCCGACCUGCACGAAUGGCGUAACGAUGGGGGCGCUGUCUCUACCCGAGACUCAGUGAAAUUGAAAUCGCCGUGAAGAUGCGGUGUAUCCGCGGCUAGACGGAAAGACCCCGUGAACCUUUACUAUAGCUUCACAGUGAACUUUGAGCAUGUUUGUGUAGGAUAGCUGGGAGGCUUUGAAACCAGGACGCCAGUUCUGGUGGAGCCAACCUUGAAAUACCAGCCUGACCUGUUUGAGGUUCUAACUUGGUCCCCUGAUCGGGGAUGAGGACACUGUGUGGUGGGUAGUUUGACUGGGGCGGUCUCCUCCCAAAGCGUAACGGAGGAGCACAAAGGUGGGCUAAGCACGGUCGGACAUCGUGCGGUUAGUGUAAUGGCACAAGCCCGCUUAACUGCGAGACAGACACGUCGAGCAGGUACGAAAGUAGGUCAUAGUGAUCC